GCAGUCGAGCGAGCUUGCCUAGAUGAUUUUAGUGCUUGCACUAAAUGAAACUAGAUACAAGCGAGCGGCGGACGGGUGAGUAACACGUGGGUAACCUGCCCAAGAGACUGGGAUAACACCUGGAAACAGAUGCUAAUACCGGAUAACAACACUAGACGCAUGUCUAGAGUUUGAAAGAUGGUUCUGCUAUCACUCUUGGAUGGACCUGCGGUGCAUUAGCUAGUUGGUAAGGUAACGGCUUACCAAGGCAAUGAUGCAUAGCCGAGUUGAGAGACUGAUCGGCCACAUUGGGACUGAGACACGGCCCAAACUCCUACGGGAGGCAGCAGUAGGGAAUCUUCCACAAUGGACGAAAGUCUGAUGGAGCAACGCCGCGUGAGUGAAGAAGGGUUUCGGCUCGUAAAGCUCUGUUGGUAGUGAAGAAAGAUAGAGGUAGUAACUGGCCUUUAUUUGACGGUAAUUACUUAGAAAGUCACGGCUAACUACGUGCCAGCAGCCGCGGUAAUACGUAGGUGGCAAGCGUUGUCCGGAUUUAUUGGGCGUAAAGCGAGUGCAGGCGGUUCAAUAAGUCUGAUGUGA
Molecule: ribosomal RNA, 579 nt
Filed under: Lactobacillus johnsonii
Lineage: Bacteria; Bacillati; Bacillota; Bacilli; Lactobacillales; Lactobacillaceae
Description: bacterial SSU rRNA
Rfam family: Bacterial small subunit ribosomal RNA
Source: RNAcentral